This 497-nucleotide ribosomal RNA is filed under the name uncultured bacterium. RNAcentral's name for it is "partial 16S ribosomal RNA". It matches the Rfam family "Bacterial small subunit ribosomal RNA", at positions 28 to 507 of the family's 1533-position model. The record is from RNAcentral.
GAUGAACGCUGGCGGCGUGCCUAAUACAUGCAAGUCGAACGGACGGACGAUAAGCUUGCUUCUCUGAUGUUAGCGGCGCACGUGUGAGUAACGCGUGUAUAACCUACCUAUAAUUCGGGUAUAACUUCGGAAAAGCGGAUCUAAUACCGUAGAAUAUUUUGAACCGCAUGGGUCGAAGGUGAAAGACGGUCUUUCUGGCACUUAUAGAGGGAUCCGCGCUGCAUUAGCUAGUUGGGAAGGUAACGGCUUACCAAGGCAACGAUGCAUAGCCGAACUGAGAGGGUGAUCGGCCACACUGGAACUGAGACACGGUCAAGACUCCUACGGGAGGCAGCAGUAGGGAACGUGCCGCAGUGGGCGAAAGCCUGACGGAGCAACGCCGCGUGAGUGAUGACGGUCUUCGGUUCGUAAAACUCUGUUAUUAGGGAAGAACAUCUGUGUAAGUAACUGUGGCCAUAUUGACGGUAACUAAUAAGAAAGCAACGGCUAACUACGUG